AUACGGAGGGGGCAAGCGUUGUUCGGAUUUACUGGGCGUAAAGGGCGCGUAGGCGGGACGUCAAGUCAGGGGUGAAAGCCCCGGGCUCAACCCGGGAACUGCGCUUAUUACUGAUAGACUAGAGAGCGGGAGAGGGUAGCGGAAUUCCCAGUGUAGAGGUGAAAUUCGUAGAUAUCGGGAGGAACACCAGCGGCGAAGGCGGCCUUCUGGACGGUGACUGACGCUGAGACGCGAAAGCGUGGGGAGCAAACAGGAUUAGAAACCCCGGUAGUCC
RNAcentral lists this ribosomal RNA (274 nucleotides) under uncultured bacterium. Its description in RNAcentral is "partial 16S ribosomal RNA". It matches the Rfam family "Bacterial small subunit ribosomal RNA", at positions 523 to 796 of the family's 1533-position model. The record is from RNAcentral.